CUCCAGACUCCUACGGGAGGCAGCAGUGGGGAAUAUUGCACAAUGGGGGAAACCCUGAUGCAGCAACGCCGCGUGAGUGAAGAAGUCAUUCGUGAUGUAAAGCUCUAUCAGCAGGGAAGAAAAUGACGGUACCUGAGUAAGAAGCCCCGGCUAACUACGUGCCAGCAGCCGCGGUAAUACGUAGGGGGCAAGCGUUAUCCGGAUUUACUGGGUGUAAAGGGAGCGUAGACGGCGGCGCAAGCCAGAUGUGAAAGCCCGGGGCUCAACUCCGGGACUGCAUUUGGAACUGUGUGGCUGGAGUGUCGGAGAGGCAGGCGGAAUUCCUAGUGUAGCGGUGAGAUGCGUAGAUAUUAGGAGGAACACCAGUGGCGAAGGCGGCCUGCUGGACGAUGACUGACGUUGAGGCUCGAAAGCGUGGGGAGCAAACAGGAUUAGAUACCCUAGUAC
This 447-nucleotide ribosomal RNA is filed under the name uncultured bacterium. Its description in RNAcentral is "bacterial SSU rRNA". It matches the Rfam family "Bacterial small subunit ribosomal RNA", at positions 329 to 793 of the family's 1533-position model. The record is from RNAcentral.